AAAAAGGCGAAUGAAUGCAGUUGAUAUUCAUUCCCACUGUCCCCCAUCCACAAGGAUCACAAAAAGAAAGACAACUCAGGUGAAGGGAUAAAAGAAAACAUCCUUUCACCAAAACAUUCAAACAGAGAUGGCAACAACCGUACGGCAUCCAGAUCUUCCUUCCAGGCCUGAUCAAGAGGAACCGAUGUUUUUUGACCUUGACCAGUAGUCAUAUCCCUUCUACCAAUGGUCCUCAGCAUAUUCUCGUUUUGCUGCAAACCAUGUGAUGCUGAAGAUACACCAGUUUCUGUAACCCUAGGGGUUACAGCAUAUCCAACAGCUGGUCCUUGUGUGCUUACUGGCAGAGAAUUUGCCGUCAUUGAACUAAUUGGACCAUCUGUCAUUAAUCUCUUGGGUGGAGGCUGGGUCAUCAUGUUGUUCAAGCUUGCUUUCCGUUUGCCCGACGACAAUGUAGUUGAGACUUUCCAUUUACUCUUCAAGAAUGUGCGAGUAGAUGGAGAUAGUGAAGCUGGAAGCAACUUGAAGCGCUCGUAGAUGCAUAAACCAGCAGCACACAUCAAGGCUCCAUAUACACGCCAAGCUUCAAACCUCUUCAUUUCAUUUUUUUGCUUCUCGGGCUGCAUUUCGGGUUCUAGUAAUUGCAAAUAAGCCUCAAGAUUUGGCAGCACAAGUAGGCGAACCACCCCAGGUCCAAGAGCUGCGAGCCCUUGAAUUGCUCCAUAAUGUUGUGGCAGCGCUUUAGUUGGAUCCAGAAAAGCAUGCAGCAAAGUACUGGUGACACGUGACUGGAGAUUGUGGUACACACGACCAUAUCUCUUGCAUAUUAAAGCAAUCAAUGUAGCUGAGAAGUCCCUAA
This 856-nucleotide unclassified non-coding RNA is filed under the name Hevea brasiliensis (rubber tree). Lineage: Eukaryota; Viridiplantae; Streptophyta; Magnoliopsida; Malpighiales; Euphorbiaceae. The record is from RNAcentral.